Suricata suricatta (meerkat) is the source of this 326-nucleotide long non-coding RNA. RefSeq lists it as uncharacterized. The transcript has 2 exons. NCBI's taxonomy places the organism in Eukaryota, Metazoa, Chordata, Mammalia, Carnivora, Herpestidae. The record is from RefSeq and is a predicted model, not a curated record.
UGUCUGAUUAGUCCUUGACCAGCAUGGCUGAGUGGAGUGGAGGGCGUUCAUCCUGUGAAGAAGCAGAGAGAAGGAAGGGUCUGCCGAGUUGGGGUCUGGGCUUGGACAGAGUCCACACUGCAGAGAACCUUCCUCAAGAUGCACUGUCAUCAGACUUCCUGUCCUUAACAAAUUCUGUUGUGGAAAUAAACGAAACCGGAUGAGGAAGAAUGUGAACUUGAGCUGUACGCAGCCCCAAUCCUCCAAACAAAUGUGAAAUUACAGCAGUGAUGACGCUCCCAACACGCUCAUUACAGUGCCUGGAAUAUACUGGAUGCCCAACACAA